RNAcentral lists this ribosomal RNA (402 nucleotides) under uncultured bacterium. RNAcentral's name for it is "partial 16S ribosomal RNA". It matches the Rfam family "Bacterial small subunit ribosomal RNA", at positions 30 to 525 of the family's 1533-position model. The record is from RNAcentral.
AUUGAACGCUGGCGGCAGGCCUAACACAUGCAAGUCGAGCGAGCGGCGGACGGGUGAGUAAUGUAUGGGGACUGCCCGAUAGAGGGGGAUAAAUACUGGAAACGGUAGCUAAUAACGCAUACUAUCGGAUAACCCAUAUGGGAUUAGCUAGUAGGUGAUGUAAUGGCUCACCUAGGCGACGAUCCCUAGCUGGUCUGAGUGGAUGAGCAGCCACACUGGGACUGAGACACUGCCCAGACUCCUACGGAGGCAGCAGUGGUGAAUAUUGCACAAUGUGCGCAAGCCUGAUGCAGCCAUGCAGCGUGUAUGAAGAAGGCCCUAGGGUUGUAAAUUACUUUCAGUCGGGAGGCGUUACCGACAGAAGAAGCACCGGCUAACUCCGUGCCAGCAGCCGCGGUAAUU